UACGGAGGGUCCGAGCGUUAUCCGGAAUUAUUGGGUUUAAAGGGUCCGUAGGCGGGCGGUUAAGUCAGUGGUGAAAGUCUGUAGCUCAACUAUAGAAUUGCCUUUGAUACUGAUCGUCUUGAGUUAUGGUGAAGUUGGCGGAAUAUGUAGUGUAGCGGUGAAAUGCAUAGAUAUUACGUAGAACACCGAUGGCGAAGGCAGCUGACUAGCCAGAUACUGACGCUGAUGGGCGAAAGCGUGGGGAGCGAACAGG
This 253-nucleotide ribosomal RNA is filed under the name uncultured bacterium. RNAcentral describes it as "partial 16S ribosomal RNA". It matches the Rfam family "Bacterial small subunit ribosomal RNA", at positions 524 to 776 of the family's 1533-position model. The record is from RNAcentral.